AUUGAACGCUGGCGGCAUGCCUUACACAUGCAAGUCGAACGGCAGCGGGGGAGAAGCUUGCUUUUCCUGCCGGCGAGUGGCGAACGGGUGAGUAAUACAUCGGAACGUGCCCUGUAGUGGGGGAUAACUAGUCGAAAGAUUAGCUAAUACCGCAUACGACCUGAGGGUGAAAGUGGGGGACCGCAAGGCCUCACGCUAUAGGAGCGGCCGAGGUCGGAUUAGCUAGUUGGUGGGGUAAAGGCCUACCAAGGCGACGAUCAGUAGCUGGUCUGAGAGGACGAUCAGCCACACUGGGACUGAGACACGGCCCAGACUCCUACGGGAGGCAGCAGUGGGGAAUUUUGGACAAUGGGCGAAAGCCUGAUCCAGCAAUGCCGCGUGUGUGAAGAAGGCCUUCGGGUUGUAAAGCACUUUUGUCCGGAAAGAAAUGGCUCUGGUUAAUACCUGGGGUCGAUGACGGUACCGGAAGAAUAAGGACCGGCUAACUACGUGCCAGCAGCCGCCGCAG
RNAcentral lists this ribosomal RNA (508 nucleotides) under uncultured bacterium. RNAcentral describes it as "partial 16S ribosomal RNA". It matches the Rfam family "Bacterial small subunit ribosomal RNA", at positions 29 to 523 of the family's 1533-position model. The record is from RNAcentral.